This 440-nucleotide ribosomal RNA is filed under the name uncultured bacterium. Its description in RNAcentral is "partial 16S ribosomal RNA". It matches the Rfam family "Bacterial small subunit ribosomal RNA", at positions 338 to 795 of the family's 1533-position model. The record is from RNAcentral.
CCUACGGGGGGCAGCAGUGGGGAAUAUUGCACAAUGGGGGAAACCCUGAUGCAGCGACGCCGCGUGAGUGAAGAAGUCUUUCGGUAUGUAAAGCUCUAUCAGCAGGGAAGAAAAUGACGGUACCUGAUCAAGAAGCCCCGGCGAACUACGUGCCAGCAGCCGCGGUAAUACAUAGGGGGCAAGCGUUAUCCGGAUUUACUGGGUGUAAAGGGAGCGUAGACGGGAGCACAAGUCUGGAGUGAAAUGCCGGGGCUUAAGCCCGGAACUGCUUUGGAAACUGUGCAGCUAGAGUGCAGGAGAGGUAGGUGGAAUGCCUGGUGUAGCGGUGAAAUGCGUAGAUAUUAGGAGGAACACCAGUGGCGAAGGCGGCUUACUGGACUGUAACUGACGUUGAGGCUCGAAAGCGUGGGGAGCAAACAGGAUUAGAUACCCUUGUAGUC